This is a long non-coding RNA of Vespula pensylvanica (western yellowjacket), 574 nucleotides long. RefSeq lists it as uncharacterized. The record is from RefSeq and is a predicted model, not a curated record. The transcript is spliced from 3 exons. Lineage: Eukaryota; Metazoa; Arthropoda; Insecta; Hymenoptera; Vespidae.
ACAUAUAUAUAUAUAUAUAUCAUUCGGAUGUAUAAAAAUAAUAAUACUUAACACGUCACACUUCGUUCGUUUUGAAGGUGUUUCUAAAGGAAGAAAACAAAAAAAGGAAAAUGAAGGAGAAAAAAAAGAAGGUAUUACGUGAACCAAUGUGCACGUGCAAUGACAAAUGUGGACACUGAAUAUCUUCGAAGAGUUCUACUCAUUGUCAAAUAAUACGCACACGAUAUGCGAUGCGCACGAUAGUCGAAGGGGUCUCUCUGAUCUCGAAGAUCAGAAUGAAGAGCCGACAUAUCACCACCAGCAUGUUCACCUAAUCUUCGAAUCGUUUCUGCCAAGGGUCCGCUCAAUGCUUGCAAUCUUCUCCAAGAUUGAGCGUAUUGUCUUCUCACUAGUUCUAUGAUGGUACUGGUCAAUGCUAAGCCCACCAGGAUGUAUAAGCAGAAACUGUGCAAACGGAACAAGCAAUCGUCGCGAACUGAUGCAGAUUCCACAAGGAUCUUCGAUUACUUCAAACACGUCUCUCCCGAAUAAGAUCGAAUGGAACUCCAUCUCUUCGGUUUUAUCUACCAAUUCA